CCGGUAAAGGGGCCGACUCUAAUGGGGACUGCCCGGUGAACAAACCGGGAGGAAGGAGGGGACGACGUCUGGUCAGCAUGGCCCUUACGGCCUGGGCGACACACGUGCUACAAUGCCCACUACAAAGCGAUGCCACCCGGCAACGGGGAGCUAAUCGCAAAAAGGUGGGCCCAGUUCGGAUUGGGGUCUGCAACCCGACCCCAUGAAGCCGGAAUCGCUAGUAAUCGCGGAUCAGCCAUGCCGCGGUCGAAUACGUUCCGGGCCUU
Molecule: ribosomal RNA, 266 nt
Filed under: uncultured Thermus sp.
Lineage: Bacteria; Thermotogati; Deinococcota; Deinococci; Thermales; Thermaceae
Description: partial 16S ribosomal RNA
Rfam family: Bacterial small subunit ribosomal RNA
Source: RNAcentral